This 992-nucleotide ribosomal RNA is filed under the name Coryphaenoides rudis. RNAcentral describes it as "partial 16S ribosomal RNA". It matches the Rfam family "Bacterial large subunit ribosomal RNA", at positions 979 to 2564 of the family's 2925-position model. Lineage: Eukaryota; Metazoa; Chordata; Actinopteri; Gadiformes; Macrouridae. The record is from RNAcentral.
AGGAGUUAAUCAGAAGGGGUACAGCUCUUCUGAUAAAAGAAACAACUUUAGUAGGUGAAACAGGAUCAUAUUAACCAAGGACUAAGAUUUAAGUGGGCCUAAAAGCAGCCAUCUUUAAAGAAAGCGUUAAAGCUCCAACUAGUUUUUCCCCUUAUAUACUGAUAUUAAACCCCUCCCCCCUACCACCUACCGGGCUAUCUUAUGCCCCCAUAAGAAUAAUUAUGCUAAAAUGAGUAAUAAGAAGAAAUCAUUUCUUCUCCCAGCAUACGUGUAAGUCGAACCGGAUUCCCCAUCGACUAUUAUCCGACCCCAACCCCAGAGGGUCCUAAGUUGAAAAAACAAGAAAAUCACUUAAUCAAAAUCGUUAACCUCACACAAGGAUGCAUCAAGGAAAGACUAAAAGGGGAGGAAGGAACUCGGCAAACCCAAGCCUCGCCUGUUUACCAAAAACAUCGCCUCUUGAUCUAUGAACAUAAGAGGUCUCGCCUGCCCAGUGACUAAAUGUUAAACGGCCGUGGUAUCUUAACCAUGCGAAGGUAGCGUAAUCACUUGUCUUUUAAAUGAAGACCUGUAUGAAUGGCAAAACGAGGGCUUAGCUGUCUCCCUUCCCCAGUCAAUGAAAUUGACCUCCCCGUGCAGAGGCGGGGAUAAACAUAUAAGACGAGAAGACCCUGUGGAGCUUUAGACUUAAAAUAACCACGUUAAACAAACUCCGACAUGAGAAAAAACUUAGUGAGCUUUAUUUAAAUGUCUUUGGUUGGGGUGACCGCGGGGCAAAACACAGCCCCCAUGAAGAUUGGGGAGAUAUCCCUAAUACCAAGAAUUACCCUUCUAAGCAACAAAAUCUUUGACUUUAAAAAUGAUCCGGUUUGACCGAUUAACGAACUCAGUUACCCCAGGGAUAACAGCGCAAUCCCCUCUCAGAGCCCUUAUCGACGAGGGGGUUUACGACCUCGAUGUUGGAUCAGGACAUCCUAAUGGUGCAGCCGCUA